This 23-nucleotide non-coding RNA is filed under the name Arabidopsis thaliana (thale cress). Lineage: Eukaryota; Viridiplantae; Streptophyta; Magnoliopsida; Brassicales; Brassicaceae. The record is from RNAcentral.
UCCAAGGAAUCUGGUGCUUGAGU